GCCCCGCCGCGGGGACGGGGCGAGGGGCGCGGGGCUUCCUUCUCCCGACCCCCCCUUGCCCCCCGCCCCGAGGGGUUUAUCUCUAGUUGCGCGCCAGCUGAAAAAUCCCAGAUGCUGGCGGAUUUUUUUUUUUCCGAGAUGACCUUUUCGAUAGUCGAUUUGAAUUUUAAAUUUUAAUUAGCCGUAAUCGCAUCAAAAGCUCUUUGUCACAGGAGUCAGGGUCUGCAUCGCCGAUGCCACUUUUCUCUCACGAACCUCAACUAUUUAACUCCAUUAGCAGCGGAUGCCAGGAUAUUUGGGUGUUUUUGAGCGUUAAUGAUUGCAUCGUCACAAAGCUCAGAGUCAUAGUAUUUGGUAAUACUGUCAUUCCUACAGUUCGAAUUGGAAAACUCCAGCCCAGAAUGUGGAGGUGCCCUGCUCCAGCAAAAGAGUUAAAGGUCCUGGGGUUAAAUCUGCCACCGUUCAGUAAAGCCAGGAGCUUUAUCUAUUUGUCCACCAUGGCAGACAUGCUCAGGGAGCAGGAGCUGUGUUCCUUUAAAGACUGUAUCAUCCCACAGUCGGAGCCUGAUAGUUACAGGCUCUACCAAAAGUGGAGCAAUUUCUGCCCCAAAGUGCAAGUGCAGUUUCCAUGAAGUUACUUGGUGGAUUUGUUAACUUGUGGAGUUUUGUUGUCUUUGUACACUGAAAAUGUUAGGCAGAAUCUUGUAUUCAUAUGAAUUACGCUACUUGGCAGAAAUCCCUUAUUUUGUAUAAUUCGUUGUUCAUUUUGCCCUCUCCUCUUUAAUAAAUAAGUUGAGAAAAAAUAAGAUUACAAAAAGAAACAAGGUUUUAAUUCCUUUUUGAGUGCUGUGAGCUAGGUAUACUGCAAUCUAACAGUGUCUUAUUUUUAGUAAACCAAUUACAAUUUCACAGUGAGUCUGUGGUCAUUAGUGAGUUUGAAAUGUCAGACAAUACAAGAGCAUUCCCAUUUCUCUAAGUAUCCAUUUGGCACAUUGCUGGCUUGCUUUUUCAGGACUCAGAAAUACUACACUCAGCUUCACACCAAGGCAACGUUGGAUACAAUACAGGUGUUGUACUGAUUUACCUACGGUUGUAUAAAAUACUGGUAGUACAACUCUAAUGUAAACAAGCACAAAGUCAUUACUGGAAGCAAGGCAACAGGAAGAACUGCCCCAGAAACUUUAUUCCAAGAGCUCCUGCGUUUCUGACAGCCCUUGUGACAGCAUGGUGGGGUAAGCAAACCAUCUACUUUCAUCUCCCGGGCCCCUGAGCCCUUCUCAGGCUGAAGGCUCCACUACUAGGAAGGCCAGAGGAGGCUCCUUUUUCAGUCCUUCCUCGAGGGAGCAGAGCCAGGCAGAGCUGCUUGGCCAAAAUAGAACUUUCUGGCUGGUGUCUGUGCUCAGAAGAGAUCACACCCACUGUGCUGCCAAACGUGAGGAUGGCUGAACAUGAACAAGGACUGAUAAAAGGUGUUGGGAGCGACCACAACAGCAGCGGGCAUUAGAAAGACUGAAUGCUUCAUUCCCUCCUGUGAAACUGUGAGGAAUUUAACCCCAAAAGAUGGUGGUAAGACAAGGAGCUGCCGUAGGCAUCCAUGGAGCUUUCCCAAUUAGCAAUCUCCUCCAGCACUUACCCUGCAGUCAAA
Neopelma chrysocephalum (saffron-crested tyrant-manakin) is the source of this 1645-nucleotide long non-coding RNA. RefSeq lists it as uncharacterized. The transcript is spliced from 3 exons. The record is from RefSeq and is a predicted model, not a curated record. Lineage: Eukaryota; Metazoa; Chordata; Aves; Passeriformes; Pipridae.